Molecule: ribosomal RNA, 516 nt
Filed under: uncultured bacterium
Lineage: Bacteria
Description: partial 16S ribosomal RNA
Rfam family: Bacterial small subunit ribosomal RNA
Source: RNAcentral
GAUGAACGCUGGCGGCGUGCCUAAUACAUGCAAGUCGAGCGAAUGGAUUAAGAGCUUGCUCUUAUGAAGUUAGCGGCGGACGGGUGAGUAACACGUGGGUAACCUGCCCAUAAGACUGGGAUAACUCCGGGAAACCGGGGCUAAUACCGGAUAACAUUUUGAACCGCAUGGUUCGAAAUUGAAAGGCGGCUUCGGCUGUCACUUAUGGAUGGACCCGCGUCGCAUUAGCUAGUUGGUGAGGUAACGGCUCACCAAGGCAACGAUGCGUAGCCGACGGGAGAGGGUGAUAGGGAACAGUGGGCCUGAGACACGGCCCAGACUCCUACGGGAGGCAGCAGUAGGGAGUCUUCCGCAAUGGACGCAAGUCUUCCGGAGCAACGUCGCGUGAGUUAUGAAGGCUUUCGCGUCGUAAAACUCUGUUGUUAGGGAAGAACAAGUGCUAGUUGAAUAAUCUGGCACCUUGACGGUACCUAACCAGAAAGCCACGUCUAACUACGGGCCAGCAGCCGCAGGUAA